AAACAGAUUGGAGGGCAGGCGAGUGGUUUCCCUGGCUGUUAGAGCCUAUGGAGAUCACCUUGUUCCUUUCACAUGCUGCCCUGGCUGCUGGGAGCUGUGGAACGUGAGCAAGUAGGCAGUGGGGAGGGGGCAGUCAAGUCUGCCUAGACGUACAUGCAGUUCCCAUAAUCGGUCCUUUUGAAAACUUCCCACUGGCCAUAUCGAACAAGCAUCUGUACCCACAAUAAGAGUGAGUUCCCUGCAUUUGCCAUCUUGUCUCAACUAACACCACCUACAGAAGCUGACAAUGACUGUUGGGCUUUUCCAGUGGAUGCCGGAACCCAUUUCUUGCAGCCUGGGGGGGGAAGGCAGAAUAACUGGCAGCAGGAGGAACCUGGAGAAGAUGUGGGGAUGGUGGUAAUCCAAAGAAGGAGCCUUAACCUGAGCACCUGUCUUAGGAGGCAGACCCCCCCUACCCUAGUGGGAGUGAAUGUUGCCCUGCAACCUGGGUCCUCAGAUGCUCUCUUAGGCAACACCUUGGUUUCAGAUGUGUCCUCCAGACCUACCACAGAUGGAUGCCCCACACUCUAACCCAAUAUCCCCAAGGAUUAGAACCCUGAACUCCUUUCUCCCAUGCCCACUGCGUGGCAGGCCCAUACAGAAGCAAAACAUGGUCACCUUUAGACUCUGGCAUACUGAGGCCAGGCCCUGACCCUGUCGGCCUCACCUUCCUGCCAGUUGAUUACUCAAUAAAAAUAUUGUUAAAUAGAA
Long non-coding RNA from Acinonyx jubatus (cheetah), 750 nucleotides. RefSeq lists it as uncharacterized. Lineage: Eukaryota; Metazoa; Chordata; Mammalia; Carnivora; Felidae. The transcript has 3 exons. The record is from RefSeq and is a predicted model, not a curated record.